Molecule: ribosomal RNA, 251 nt
Filed under: uncultured soil bacterium
Lineage: Bacteria
Description: partial 16S ribosomal RNA
Rfam family: Bacterial small subunit ribosomal RNA
Source: RNAcentral
AGAUUGAACGCUGGCGGCAGGCCUAACACAUGCAAGUCGAGCGGUAGAGAGGUGCUUGCACCUCUUGAGAGCGGCGGACGGGUGAGUAAUGCCUAGGAAUCUGCCUAGUGGUGGGGGAUAACGUUCGGAAACGGACGCUAAUACCGCAUACGUCCUACGGGAGAAAGCGGGGGACCUUCGGGCCUCGCGCCAUUAGAUGAGCCUAGGUCGGAUUAGCUAGUUGGUGAGGUAAUGGCUCACCAAGGCGACGA